This 1541-nucleotide ribosomal RNA is filed under the name Enterobacter kobei. Its description in RNAcentral is "bacterial SSU rRNA". It matches the Rfam family "Bacterial small subunit ribosomal RNA". The record is from RNAcentral. Lineage: Bacteria; Pseudomonadati; Pseudomonadota; Gammaproteobacteria; Enterobacterales; Enterobacteriaceae.
AAAUUGAAGAGUUUGAUCAUGGCUCAGAUUGAACGCUGGCGGCAGGCCUAACACAUGCAAGUCGAACGGUAACACAGAGAGCUUGCUCUCGGGUGACGAGUGGCGGACGGGUGAGUAAUGUCUGGGAAACUGCCUGAUGGAGGGGGAUAACUACUGGAAACGGUAGCUAAUACCGCAUAACGUCGCAAGACCAAAGAGGGGGACCUUCGGGCCUCUUGCCAUCAGAUGUGCCCAGAUGGGAUUAGCUAGUAGGUGGGGUAAUGGCUCACCUAGGCGACGAUCCCUAGCUGGUCUGAGAGGAUGACCAGCCACACUGGAACUGAGACACGGUCCAGACUCCUACGGGAGGCAGCAGUGGGGAAUAUUGCACAAUGGGCGCAAGCCUGAUGCAGCCAUGCCGCGUGUAUGAAGAAGGCCUUCGGGUUGUAAAGUACUUUCAGCGGGGAGGAAGGUGUUGUGGUUAAUAACCACAGCAAUUGACGUUACCCGCAGAAGAAGCACCGGCUAACUCCGUGCCAGCAGCCGCGGUAAUACGGAGGGUGCAAGCGUUAAUCGGAAUUACUGGGCGUAAAGCGCACGCAGGCGGUCUGUCAAGUCGGAUGUGAAAUCCCCGGGCUCAACCUGGGAACUGCAUUCGAAACUGGCAGGCUAGAGUCUUGUAGAGGGGGGGUAGAAUUCCAGGUGUAGCGGUGAAAUGCGUAGAGAUCUGGAGGAAUACCGGUGGCGAAGGCGGCCCCCUGGACAAAGACUGACGCUCAGGUGCGAAAGCGUGGGGAGCAAACAGGAUUAGAUACCCUGGUAGUCCACGCCGUAAACGAUGUCGACUUGGAGGUUGUGCCCUUGAGGCGUGGCUUCCGGAGCUAACGCGUUAAGUCGACCGCCUGGGGAGUACGGCCGCAAGGUUAAAACUCAAAUGAAUUGACGGGGGCCCGCACAAGCGGUGGAGCAUGUGGUUUAAUUCGAUGCAACGCGAAGAACCUUACCUACUCUUGACAUCCAGAGAACUUUCCAGAGAUGGAUUGGUGCCUUCGGGAACUCUGAGACAGGUGCUGCAUGGCUGUCGUCAGCUCGUGUUGUGAAAUGUUGGGUUAAGUCCCGCAACGAGCGCAACCCUUAUCCUUUGUUGCCAGCGGUUAGGCCGGGAACUCAAAGGAGACUGCCAGUGAUAAACUGGAGGAAGGUGGGGAUGACGUCAAGUCAUCAUGGCCCUUACGAGUAGGGCUACACACGUGCUACAAUGGCGCAUACAAAGAGAAGCGACCUCGCGAGAGCAAGCGGACCUCAUAAAGUGCGUCGUAGUCCGGAUUGGAGUCUGCAACUCGACUCCAUGAAGUCGGAAUCGCUAGUAAUCGUAGAUCAGAAUGCUACGGUGAAUACGUUCCCGGGCCUUGUACACACCGCCCGUCACACCAUGGGAGUGGGUUGCAAAAGAAGUAGGUAGCUUAACCUUCGGGAGGGCGCUUACCACUUUGUGAUUCAUGACUGGGGUGAAGUCGUAACAAGGUAACCGUAGGGGAACCUGCGGUUGGAUCACCUCCUUA